GUAGGGAAUAUUGGUAAUCUGCGAAAGCGGGAACCAGCAACGCCGCGUGUGCGAAGAAGGCCUUCGGGUCGUAAAGCACUUUUCGGGAGGAAGAGGAAGGACUGUACUCCCGGAAUAAGUCUCGGCUAACUACGUGCCAGCAGCCGCGGUAAUACGUAGGAGGCAAACGUUAUCCGGAUUUACUGGGCGUAAAGCGCGUGUAGGCGGCAUUAUAAGUUGGACGUGAAAGCUCCCGGCUCAACUGGGAGAGGUCGUUCAAUACUGUAAGGCUUGAGGAUGGUAGAGGGAGGUGGAAUUCCGGGUGUAGUGGUGAAAUGCGCAGAUAUCCGGAGGAACACCAGUGGCGAAAGCGGCCUCCUGGACCAUUCCUGACGCUCAGACGCGAAAGCUAGGGUAGCAAACGGGAUUAGAAACCCUAGUAGUCC
Molecule: ribosomal RNA, 425 nt
Filed under: uncultured bacterium
Lineage: Bacteria
Description: bacterial SSU rRNA
Rfam family: Bacterial small subunit ribosomal RNA
Source: RNAcentral